GUUCUCUGUCAGUUUUGCAUGGUUGCGCUGCAAGAAGAAAUAAGUUGUGCAAAUCUAUGCAAAACUGACAGCGGUC
Non-coding RNA from Takifugu rubripes (torafugu), 76 nucleotides. NCBI's taxonomy places the organism in Eukaryota, Metazoa, Chordata, Actinopteri, Tetraodontiformes, Tetraodontidae. The record is from Rfam.